RNAcentral lists this ribosomal RNA (1075 nucleotides) under Draculoides sp. SCH071. RNAcentral's name for it is "partial large subunit ribosomal RNA". It matches the Rfam family "Eukaryotic large subunit ribosomal RNA", at positions 76 to 877 of the family's 3401-position model. RNAcentral also lists the same sequence under 1 other name. The record is from RNAcentral. Lineage: Eukaryota; Metazoa; Arthropoda; Arachnida; Schizomida; Hubbardiidae.
UCCCUUAGUAGCGGCGAGCGAACAGGGAAGAGCCCAGCGCCGAAUUCCGCGUCUCAAAGGGCGUUUGGAACAUGUGGCGUUUAGGAGGAAUCUCUCCGAGGGCAGACGGUGUCGCAAGUCCCCCUGAACGGGGCUGUGAUCCAGAGCGGGUGCGAGGCCCAUAGCUGGUACCGUCUCCUUCGGGUGUCCCCUCCUUGGAGUCGGGUUGCUUGGGAGUGCAGCCCUAAUUGGGUGGUAAACUCCACCUAAGGCUAAAUACGUCCGUGAGACCGAUAGCAAACAAGUACCGUGAGGGAAAGUUGCAAAGAACUUUGAAGAGAGAGUUCAAGAGUACGUGAAACCGCUCAGAGGCAAACGGGUGGGCCCACGAAAGCCGAAGGCGGGGGGAUUCAGUCGAGAGGACGGUGGGGCAGGACUGGCUGGUUGGACGGACCGUGCCAGGCCGGGUCAGUUCCCGAGAUCUGCCGCCUUUCGACGCAUUUCCCCCUGCUUAGUAGGACGCCGCAACCGGUUGGCGCUGCAGCCAUAAGGGAGAGUAAAUGGAAGGUAGCCAGUGAGUUCUUCUUCGGAGGCGCGAGCUGGUCCUAAGCCGACUCUCCUGGUGCUUGUGGCCCGACCGUGGUCGUGAGUCCCUCAACGGGAUGUCGCCGAGCCCUCUGACUGGAGCGGGAGAAAUGGCAGGCUGCUUUCCGCGGAAAAAAUCGAUCGCUUCACGCGUGCAGUGGGCGAUCUCCGGAGGUAGCUGCUGGUGCAUUUUUCUCCUGCGCUGGGCACAGGCAGUUGGCGGCGAGUAGGUCGGUCACCCACCCGACCCGUCUUGAAACACGGACCAAGGAGUCUAACAUGUGCGCGAGUCAUUNGGGUCUUGAACAAGCCCAAAGGCGCAAUGAAAGUGAAGACCAGCACUGAAGCUGGUGGAGUUGGGAAACUGCGUCACUGAAGAUGCAGUUGCACCAACGGCCCGUCCCGUCCGCAUCGUCGGUGGGGCGGAGCGAGAGCGUACACGUUGGGACCCGAAAGAUGGUGAACUAUGCCUGGGCAGGACGAAGCCAGAGGAAACUCUGGUGGAGGUCCG